AACCACAUUGCUGAACUAACCAGGAAGGCAGCACACUACAGUUAACGACUAACCCUAACACUAACACACAUUAUGGUUAAUGUACAAAAAAUUACCAUGGAGAACCAGAAUUCUCUCACAAAUUAUUUUCUCAUCACAAACAUUGCCACAAAAAUGGCAUUUUAUUCUAUAUGGAUAAAGACAUUUUUUUUUUUUUUUACAUUACAUGAUUUCUUCCUCAGAGUUUACAAUAAGGUUUAGUUUCUUAAGGUUAACCAGCCGGCACAUGACCGACCUUCAAUGUUGAAAUAUGGUUGAAAUAAGGUCAGUUGUUGUUGUUUUAACGUUGAAACAACGUUGAAAAAUGUUUAAUGCUAAAUGGUUGAGAAAGGUUAACAAAAACACAUGUAAAUCAACAUUAAUUUAUUUUUAAUAAGAUCUGUAUGUUGAAUCAACUUAAUGUCUUCAACAGCAUACAAAAUAAAUGUCUGCCUUUUAAAUUAUUUAUAUUAAAUUAUUUAAGAUUAUUAUUAUUAUUUUAAUAGCAUUUUACAAUAUUUUAAUCAUGAUACCUAUUAGGUAUAUGUUAAAUAUUAUCAUCAUUUCGCUGCGUUAUCAUGCUGAAACAAUUCCCAUUGGUUGUUUUACUUUAUUGCUUUGAUCGUGAUUGGUUAUUCUGGCUGUCUUCCAGGAAACUGGACAAUUAAACAAUUCGUGCCUUUCUAAAUUUAAAAAUAUGACCGUUAUUACCGUUUUUCUGUGAGUGAGUCGGCAGACCGUGAGCUGCUGCUCGUUAACUGCUCGGUCGGUCCCGAAUUAUUUAAUAUUUGCCUGUUAAUUUUUUUUUAUUUUGAGCGAAUUUGAGUCGUGACAUGUCAAUGGAGAACAAAAACUGUAACGUGAACACAAGAAGGGUCAGAUGUGUUCUGCGAGGUCCUGGUAAAAUGAGGUAAGAAAAUCGCUAUCUUUAUUAUCUUUCCAAAAUAGUAAAGUAUAACAUUACCAGAGUUUACAAAUGGGUAAAGGACAUUACCUAUAGAAGAUAAAUACCUGUGUGUGUAUUUUUGUAUUGCUUUAUCACAGAUGCUCAAGUUGGAUGCUGAUGUUGUUGUGUUGCUGAGUCAUCAAGGAUCAAGUUUAUUAUUGGCACAUUGGACAGUACAGAAAGCGCACAAGUGGGAGAGAGUGGAGGGGACGUAUCCUCUAACGCUGGGCCCUUGGAAUUGUCCUAACCUGCCCUCCCCUUACGGCGCCCCUGGUUGCAGGUUCCAUUGUCAAACUGUUCAACACAUUUUCACUGCACAAAUGUACCCAUCUCUUGUAAUGAGACACAUUAGUAAAACAUGUUUUCACAGAAACUACAGUUUUCCACCAAAAUAAAAGAUCAACUGGUUUCAG
Cyprinus carpio (common carp) is the source of this 1377-nucleotide long non-coding RNA. RefSeq lists it as uncharacterized. The transcript has 3 exons. NCBI's taxonomy places the organism in Eukaryota, Metazoa, Chordata, Actinopteri, Cypriniformes, Cyprinidae. The record is from RefSeq and is a predicted model, not a curated record.